Molecule: long non-coding RNA, 334 nt
Organism: Oncorhynchus kisutch (coho salmon)
Lineage: Eukaryota; Metazoa; Chordata; Actinopteri; Salmoniformes; Salmonidae
Exons: 3
Source: RefSeq, a predicted model, not a curated record
UUGGUCCACGUUGCAGGUACUGUGACACGAUCUACAGAAAUUCAGUGGAUUGGUCCACGUUGCAGCCCACUGGCUGGACAGGAGUCCGUUGUGAGAAAGAUGUCAACGAGUGCAUCAAGAAGAAUGGAGGAUGUAACCACGAGUGUAACAACACUAUGGGUAGCUACCAUUGCUCCUGUCACCGCGGUUACAUGCUGGUCGGACCCCAGAGGUGUAACGACGUGGAUGAGUGCCAGGAUCCAGGUAUGUGUGGGACAGCGAGGUGUGUGAACCAGGAUGGAGCCUAUGACUGUCUGUGUGAGACGGGAUAUGUUACGACAACAACACCAAGACC